GUCCCAGCACGUCAUAAAAAUGGCAACGCCUGAGCUUCAAGUCUGCACAACAUGUCACGUCAAGAACCUGCUACGGGUGGAGCGCAGCUUGAACUUGGCUGCUAGAGGCCAUCCGUGCCCUCGUGCUCAAGCAUUAUUCGAGCGCUGACGUAGUGUGCGUACAUACUUCUGCGUAUGUUUGACGUUAUCACCGACGGCGUCUUCAAGGUGGACGUGCUACUGACAUUGCAUCGACUCUAAAAACUCUUACCGCUGCCGGGACUAGCAACUUGGAGCUCGUGUCCAAAGUGUUUCAUCGCCAAAACCUUCUCGAGUACCACCACAGGGAUGAGCAUUGCUGCGAGCUUCAACAGCGGCAUCAAAAAAAAAAAAAAUAGCAGGUGAACCCACUAACAAGAUUUUGCAGGGGUACGUCGGGGGUCUUUCCCAUGAC
Rhipicephalus microplus (southern cattle tick) is the source of this 433-nucleotide long non-coding RNA. The record is from RefSeq and is a predicted model, not a curated record. NCBI's taxonomy places the organism in Eukaryota, Metazoa, Arthropoda, Arachnida, Ixodida, Ixodidae.